CGCACAUUGCGCUUCCGGGAUUUUUCCCGGGAGCAUGCUUGUCUGAGUGUCAGC
This 54-nucleotide ribosomal RNA is filed under the name Phaeodactylum tricornutum. RNAcentral describes it as "partial 5.8S ribosomal RNA". The record is from RNAcentral. Lineage: Eukaryota; Bacillariophyta; Bacillariophyceae; Surirellales; Neidiaceae.